UCAAAAAAAAAUUGACGCGUUGAACGUUUAUUUUAUAUUACAUUCUGACAUACAGUGCUAUGGGAGUACCAUAAAAAUGGUAGUUCGGCGCACUAUACCUACGAUAUAUUUCCCAGAGGGAGAUUUACAGCGAGUAUUG
This is a non-coding RNA of Caenorhabditis elegans, 139 nucleotides long. NCBI's taxonomy places the organism in Eukaryota, Metazoa, Nematoda, Chromadorea, Rhabditida, Rhabditidae. The record is from Ensembl.